Molecule: ribosomal RNA, 467 nt
Filed under: uncultured bacterium
Lineage: Bacteria
Description: partial 16S ribosomal RNA
Rfam family: Bacterial small subunit ribosomal RNA
Source: RNAcentral
GACGAACGCUGGCGGCGUGCUUAACACAUGCAAGUCGAACGGAAAGGCCCUGCUUUUGUGGGGUGCUCGAGUGGCGAACGGGUGAGUAACACGUGAGUAACCUGCCCUUGACUUUGGGAUAACUUCAGGAAACUGGGGCUAAUACCGGAUAGGAGCUCCUGCUGCAUGGUGGGGGUUGGAAAGUUUCGGCGGUUGGGGAUGGACUCGCGGCUUAUCAGCUUGUUGGUGGGGUAGUGGCUUACCAAGGCUUUGACGGGUAGCCGGCCUGAGAGGGUGACCGGCCACAUUGGGAAUGAGAUACGGCCCAGACUCCUACGGGAGGCAGCAGUGGGGAAGAUUGCACAAUGGGCGGAAGCCUGAUGCAGCAACGCCGCGUGCGGGAUGACGGCCUUCGGGUUGUAAACCGCUUUCGCCUGUGACGAAGCGUGAGUGACGGUAAUGGGUAAAGAAGCACCGGCUAACUACGU